AUGAGAGGGAGCAAUCUAGUGCAGGCAACGACGAUAUUCUUCAUCGGAUGCCUUGUCGUGUGUGUCCAGUGUGGUCUCGACGCUAAUGAAAUGGUAGUCAAACAAGAUGGCCGUGUGGCGAAUACAAGUACUGACGCUACCGUUGUCAACUCAACGUCUGUAGGCGACAGCAAGAUAACUGUCAAAUUUUGCAUCCAAAAUUUGGGAUGCCAUCUUUCAGAUGGGUACCGUGGUACAUGCUACUGCUGCCAGAAAGAUGAGAUCGAGUGUUUCAGGACGCGGAGUGAGUGUCAGGACAUCUGCCCUACGUGCAACCCAAAAUGCCCACCUCCGUCGGGGUCUCUUGGAUAG
Molecule: ribosomal RNA, 351 nt
Filed under: Triticum aestivum (bread wheat)
Lineage: Eukaryota; Viridiplantae; Streptophyta; Magnoliopsida; Poales; Poaceae
Description: partial small subunit ribosomal RNA
Source: RNAcentral